RNAcentral lists this ribosomal RNA (158 nucleotides) under uncultured bacterium. RNAcentral's name for it is "partial 16S ribosomal RNA". It matches the Rfam family "Bacterial small subunit ribosomal RNA", at positions 355 to 509 of the family's 1533-position model. The record is from RNAcentral.
UGAGGAAUAUUGGUCAAUGGGCGGGAGCCUGAACCAGCCAAGCCGCGUGAGGGAAUAAGGCGCCAAGCGUCGUAAACCUCUUUUUGUCAGGGAACAAAAGCGGGCACGCGUGCCCGUCCGAGUGUACCUGAAGAAAAAGCAUCGGCUAACUCCGUGCC